This 228-nucleotide ribosomal RNA is filed under the name uncultured bacterium. Its description in RNAcentral is "partial 16S ribosomal RNA". It matches the Rfam family "Bacterial small subunit ribosomal RNA", at positions 15 to 226 of the family's 1533-position model. The record is from RNAcentral.
GAUCAUGGCUCAGGACGAACGCUGGCGGCGUUCUUAACACAUGCAAGUCGAACGAGAAUCUGUGGAUCGAGGAUUCGUCUAAGUGAAGCAGAGGACAGUGGCGGACGGGUGAGUAACGCGUGAGGAACCUGCCUUUCAGAGGGGGACAACAGUUGGAAACGACUGCUAAUACCGCAUGAUACAUUUGGGUGGCAUCAUCUGAAUGUCAAAGAUUUAUCGCUGAAAGAU